GAACGCACCUUGCGCCCUUUGGUCUUUCCAAUGGGUAUGCCUGUUUGAGUAUCGUGAACACCUCAACUCUCAUGGUUUGCCAUGAUGAGCUUGGACUUUGGGGGUCUUGCUGGCCUGUGGUCGGCUCCUCUCAAACGGAUCAGCUUGCCAGUGUUUGGUGGCACCACGGGUGUGAUAACUAUCUACGCUUGUGGUUUUCCACCAGAUAACCUUCAGCGAUGGAGGUUCACUGGAGCUCAUAAAUGUCUCUCCUCAGCGAAGACAGCUCUUUGAACGUUUGAUCUCAAAUCAGGUAGGACUACCCGCUGAACUUA
Molecule: unclassified non-coding RNA, 314 nt
Filed under: uncultured Thelephoraceae
Lineage: Eukaryota; Fungi; Basidiomycota; Agaricomycetes; Thelephorales; Thelephoraceae
Description: sequence contains 5.8S rRNA gene
Source: RNAcentral